This 90-nucleotide transfer RNA is filed under the name Patescibacteria group bacterium. RNAcentral describes it as "tRNA-Ser". It matches the Rfam family "tRNA". From Rfam's summary of the family: Transfer RNA (tRNA) molecules are approximately 80 nucleotides in length. Their secondary structure includes four short double-helical elements and three loops (D, anti-codon, and T loops). The record is from RNAcentral.
GGAGAGGUGCUAGAGUGGUUGAAUAGGUCGCUCUCGAAAAGCGAUGUACCUUAAUUGGUACCGUGGGUUCAAAUCCCACCCUCUCCGCCA